Molecule: ribosomal RNA, 478 nt
Filed under: uncultured bacterium
Lineage: Bacteria
Description: partial 16S ribosomal RNA
Rfam family: Bacterial small subunit ribosomal RNA
Source: RNAcentral
GACGAACGCUGGCGGCGUGCUUAACACAUGCAAGUCGAACGGUAAGGCCCUUCGGGGUACACGAGUGGCGAACGGGUGAGUAACACGUGGGUGAUCUGCCCUGCACAUCGGGAUAAGCCUGGGAAACUGGGUCUAAUACCGGAUAGGACCACUGCCUGCAUGGGUGGUGGUGGAAAGCUUUUGCGGUGUGGGAUGGGCCCGCGGCCUAUCAGCUUGUUGGUGGGGUGAUGGCCUACCAAGACGACGACGGGUAGCCGGCCUGAGAGGGUGACCGGCCACACUGGGACUGAGAUACGGCCCAGACUCCUACGGGAGGCAGCAGUGGGGGAUAUUGCACAAUGGGCGCAAGCCUGAUGCAGCGACGCCGCGUGAGGGAUGACGGCCUUCGGGUUGUAAACCUCUUUCAGCACCGACGAAGCGCAAGUGACGGUAGGUGCAGAAGAAGGACCGGCCAACUACGUGCCAGCCGCCGCCGUAA